Sinocyclocheilus anshuiensis is the source of this 663-nucleotide long non-coding RNA. RefSeq lists it as uncharacterized. The record is from RefSeq and is a predicted model, not a curated record. The transcript is spliced from 3 exons. NCBI's taxonomy places the organism in Eukaryota, Metazoa, Chordata, Actinopteri, Cypriniformes, Cyprinidae.
CAACGUUUUUUUAUCAAUAUUGCGAUUUAGUUUUUGUGUCCAUAUGCUCUCCAGACUGUGUUCUCAGAGGUGGUUGGAGGGAAAAGACAAAAGCAAUAUAAUGAAGCAGACAGACUGAAGAACAAAAAGAACAGAAAAUCAGGAAAAGGUGAGGAGUUUUACAUCCCAUACAGACCCAAAGACUUCAACUCAGAGCGCGGGCUCAGUCUCGGCGGUGACGGCGGAUCUUUUGAGCAGCAGGCCUCUUCUGCGGUUCUGGAUCUGAUGGGAGACGAGAGCAACACUUUAAACCAGCACAAGAACCUGAUGAAAUGGGAUCGCAAGAGGAAACGCUUCGUCCAUGACAUGGGCAAAGAGGACAAAAACAAGAAAAUCAAAACAGAAAGUGGACAGGUGAUCAGUGGCAAAAAGAAGAAGAAGAGCUUGUAUCCUUUAUUUAUAUAGCACUUUUCAUAACAUUGUUUAAAAAAGCAGCUUUACAAAAACUCAUGAUGUUAAUUUACAAAUAUUGCUGAAUGAAUGCUGUCUUUAUGAAUGGCCCCAUACUGCAUCUUUAAAGUCAGUGUGAUCGUGAGCAGCUAUCUAUGGUGAAUGGAUUGGAGGGUGAAAAGUGUCUCUUAGGCCGCGUUUACACUUGGCAUUAACAUGCGACCUGUAUCCGGA